RNAcentral lists this long non-coding RNA (523 nucleotides) under Homo sapiens (human). RNAcentral's name for it is "HSALNT0392242". Lineage: Eukaryota; Metazoa; Chordata; Mammalia; Primates; Hominidae. The record is from RNAcentral.
GUUUCUAUUUAUGGUGGAGCCGGCGAUCGGCGUGCGGUUGGAAGUGGUGUCCCUGAGGCACCUGCUCGCCCUUUUCCUGCGCCUCCGCAACGUCGGCUGCGAAUGAGUCUCCUAAAGGACGCCCGGGAGGAUCGGAAACAGCCGAGUCCCGGCGCGGGCAGUGUCCUGCGCUCCUCCCCGGGGUCUGGCCGGGGUGGGCCCGAGGCCCCCGGGCCCCCGGUUACCGCCGCGGGCGCGUCUGCGUCCUGACCCGGAGGGACCCGCGGGCCGGGCCGUACCAGUGAUGCAAGAUGGUCCUUUCUGAGCAGAGCUCCCCUCGCUCAGUGCUCCUUUGUUUCACGUAGAAGAUCUUCUUGAGGGGACUGUGUGGCCAGUGCAGCCCAGGCCUCCCCACCCUGCACCGUUCAACAGAAGAGCAGCUGACGCAGGGGGCCCUCAACAUGCUCACCCAAAAGUCAGCGAGAUUCUGCACCGGCCCACUAGCCUUCCAAUUGUAAACUAAAAAUAAAAUCUUGGCCAGGCA